GUUUCUGAGCCCUUAAAUGGUCUCUCAGUCUGGUUCAGUAGGAAUCACAAUCAAGGGGAAGACUGCUGACCUGACAGUUGUGCAGAAAACCAUAAUUGACACCCUCCAUAAGGAGGGAAAGCCUCAAAAGGUAAUUGCGAAGGAAGUUGGAUGUUCCCAAAGUGCUGUAUCAAAGCACAUUAAUAGAAAGUUAUGUGGAAGGGAAAAUUGUGGAAGAAAAAGGGGCACAAGCAGCAGGGAUGACCGCAGCCUGGAGAAGAUAAUCAGGAAAAGGCCAUUCAAAUGUGUUGGGGACUUCCACAAGGAGUGGACUGAGGCUGGAGUCAGUGCAUCAAGAGCCACCACACACAGACGGAUCCUGGACAUGGGCUUCAGAUGUCGUAUUCCUCUUGUCAAGCCGCUCCUGAACAACAAACAACGUCAGAAGCAUCUUACCUGGGCUAAAGAAAAACAGACCUGUUCUGCUCAGUGGUCCAAAGUCCUCUUUUCUGAUGAGAGCAACUUUUGCAUCUCAUUUGGAAACCAAGGACACAGAGUCUGGAGGAAGAAUGGAGAGGCACACACUGCAAGAUGCUUGAAGUCCAGUGUGAAGUUUCCACAGCCAUGUCAUCUGCUGGUGUUGGUCCACUGUGCUUCAUUAAGUCCAGGAUCAACGCAGCCGUCUACCAGGAGAUUUUGGAGCACUUCAUGCUUUCUUCCACAGACGAGCUUUUGGGGAUGCUGACUUCAUUUUCCAGCAGGACUUGGCACCUGCCCACACUGCCAAAAGCACCAAAGCCUGGUUCAAUAACUGUGGGAUUACUGUGCAUGAUUGGCCAGCAAACUCACCUGACCUGAACCCCAUAGAGAAUAUAUGGGGCAUUGCCAAGAGAAAGAUGAGAGACAUGAGAUCAAACAAUACAGAAGAGCUGAAAGCCGCUUUUGAAGCAUCCUGGUCUUCCAUAACACCUUAGCAGUGCCACAGGCUGAUAGCUUCCAUGCCACGCCGCAUUGAGGCAGUAAUUGCUGCAAAAGGGGCCCAAACCAAGUACUGAGUCCAUAUGCAUGCUUAUACUUUUCAGAGGUCCGAUAUUGUUCUAUGUACACUCCUUGUUUUAUUGAUUGAAGUAAUAUUCUAAAUUACUGAGAUUGGGGAUUUGGGGUUUUCAUGAGCUUUAAGCCAUAAUCAUCG
RNAcentral lists this long non-coding RNA (1171 nucleotides) under Pelobates cultripes (western spadefoot toad). Lineage: Eukaryota; Metazoa; Chordata; Amphibia; Anura; Pelobatidae. The record is from RNAcentral.